Molecule: ribosomal RNA, 465 nt
Filed under: Staphylococcus argenteus
Lineage: Bacteria; Bacillati; Bacillota; Bacilli; Caryophanales; Staphylococcaceae
Description: partial 23S ribosomal RNA
Rfam family: Bacterial large subunit ribosomal RNA
Source: RNAcentral
UGAGCUGUGAUGGGGAGAAGACAUUGUGUCUUCGAGUCGUUGAUUUCACACUGCCGAGAAAAGCCUCUAGAUAGAAAAUAGGUGCCCGUACCGCAAACCGACACAGGUAGUCAAGAUGAGAAUUCUAAGGUGAGCGAGCGAACUCUCGUUAAGGAACUCGGCAAAAUGACCCCGUAACUUCGGGAGAAGGGGUGCUCUUUAGGGUUAACGCCCAGAAGAGCCGCAGUGAAUAGGCCCAAGCGACUGUUUAUCAAAAACACAGGUCUCUGCUAAACCGUAAGGUGAUGUAUAGGGGCUGACGCCUGCCCGGUGCUGGAAGGUUAAGAGGAGUGGUUAGCUUCUGCGAAGCUACGAAUCGAAGCCCCAGUAAACGGCGGCCGUAACUAUAACGGUCCUAAGGUAGCGAAAUUCCUUGUCGGGUAAGUUCCGACCCGCACGAAAGGCGUAACGAUUUGGGCACUGUCU